Molecule: ribosomal RNA, 504 nt
Filed under: uncultured bacterium
Lineage: Bacteria
Description: partial 16S ribosomal RNA
Rfam family: Bacterial small subunit ribosomal RNA
Source: RNAcentral
AUUGAACGCUGGCGGCAGGCCUAACACAUGCAAGUCGAACGGUAGCACAGAGAGCUUGCUCUCGGGUGACGAGUGGCGGACGGGUGAGUAACGUCUGGGAAACUGCCCGAUGGAGGGGGAUAACUACUGGAAACGGUAGCUAAUACCGCAUAACGUCGCAAGACCAAAGUGGGGGACCUUCGGGCCUCACACCAUCGGAUGUGCCCAGAUGGGAUUAGCUAGUAGGUGGGGUAAUGGCUCACCUAGGCGACGAUCCCUAGCUGGUCUGAGAGGAUGACCAGCCACACUGGAACUGAGACACGGUCCAGACUCCUACGGGAGGCAGCAGUGGGAAAUAUUGCACAAUGGGCGCAAGCCUGAUGCAGCCAUGCCGCGUGUAUGAAGAAGGCCUUCGGGUUGUAAAAUACUUUCAGCGGGGAGGAAGGCGGUGAAGUUAAUAACUUCACCGAUUGACGUUACCCGCAGAAGAAGCACCGGCUAACUCCGUGCCAGCCGCCGCGGUAA